RNAcentral lists this ribosomal RNA (381 nucleotides) under uncultured eukaryote. RNAcentral describes it as "SSU rRNA". It matches the Rfam family "Eukaryotic small subunit ribosomal RNA", at positions 587 to 972 of the family's 1831-position model. The record is from RNAcentral.
AGCUCCAAUAGCGUAUAUUAAAGUUGUUGCGGUUAAAAAGCUCGUAGUUGGAUUUCUGCCGAGGACAGCCGGUCCGCCCCCUGGGUGAGUAUCUGGUUCGGCCUGGGCAUCUUCUUGGGGAACGUAGCUGCACUUGACUGUGUGGUGCGGAAUCCAGGACUUUUACUUUGAGGAAAUUAGAGUGUUUCAAGCAGGCUUUCGCCUUGAAUACAUUAGCAUGGAAUAAUAAGAUAGGACUUCGGUUCUAUUUUGUUGGUUUUUAGAGCUGAAGUAAUGAUUAAUAGGGAUAGUCGGGGGCAUUGGAAUUGAGUUGUCAGAGGUGAAAUUCUUGGAUUUACUCAAGACCGACUACUGCGAAAGCAUUUGCCAAGGAUGUUUUCA